Molecule: ribosomal RNA, 242 nt
Filed under: uncultured bacterium
Lineage: Bacteria
Description: partial 16S ribosomal RNA
Rfam family: Bacterial small subunit ribosomal RNA
Source: RNAcentral
CGCGUGAGCAAUCUGCCUUUCAGAGGGGGAUAACAGCCGGAAACGGCUGCUAAUACCGCAUAAUGCAUUGAAUUCGCAUGUUUUUGAUGCCAAGAUUUUAUCGCUGAAAGAUGAGCUCGCGUCUGAUUAGCUAGUUGGCGGGGUAACGGCCCACCCAAGGCGACGAUCAGUAGCCGGACUGAGAGGUUGAACGGCCACAUUGGGACUGAGACACGGCCCAGACUCCUACGGGAGGCAGCAUG